This 477-nucleotide ribosomal RNA is filed under the name uncultured bacterium. RNAcentral describes it as "bacterial SSU rRNA". It matches the Rfam family "Bacterial small subunit ribosomal RNA", at positions 29 to 483 of the family's 1533-position model. The record is from RNAcentral.
AACGAACGCUGGCGGCGUGCCUAACACAUGCAAGUCGAACGGAGUGAAGGAGCUUGCUCUUUCAUUUAGUGGCGCACGGGUGAGUAACGCGUAGAUAAUCUGCCUUAGACUCUGGGAUAACAUCUCGAAAGGGGUGCUAAUACCGGAUAAGCCCACGAUGGCGUAAGUCGUUGCGGGAAAAGGGGGCCUCUGAAUAUGCUCUUGAUCUAAGAUGAGUCUGCGUACCAUUAGCUAGUUGGUAGGGUAAGAGCCUACCAAGGCGACGAUGGUUAGCUGGUCUGAGAGGAUGAUCAGCCACACUGGAACUGAGACACGGUCCAGACUCCUACGGGAGGCAGCAGUGGGGAAUUUUGCGCAAUGGGGGAAACCCUGACGCAGCAACGCCGCGUGAGUGAUGAAGGCUUUCGGGUCGUAAAGCUCUGUCUAGAGGGAGAAAUGAUAUUCGGUUAAUACCCGGAUUUCUUGACGGUACCUCUG